GCAGACACAUCCCAGCCAAUCAGCAGCAGACCCUCCCUCCCAGACCCUCCCACCUCCUGGACAGCAUCCAUUGUGAAGCUGCAUUCUUAGUGAGCUGUCCAGGAGGUGGGAGGGUCUGGGAGGGAGGGUCUGCUGCUGAUUGGCUGGAAUGUGUUUG
This is a non-coding RNA of Pelobates cultripes (western spadefoot toad), 157 nucleotides long. The record is from the annotation of a GenBank genome assembly. NCBI's taxonomy places the organism in Eukaryota, Metazoa, Chordata, Amphibia, Anura, Pelobatidae.